This 371-nucleotide ribosomal RNA is filed under the name uncultured organism. RNAcentral describes it as "partial 16S ribosomal RNA". It matches the Rfam family "Bacterial small subunit ribosomal RNA", at positions 527 to 896 of the family's 1533-position model. The record is from RNAcentral.
AGAGGGUGCAAGCGUUAACCGGAAUGAUUGGGCGUAAAGCGCGCGUAGGCGGUUAGAUAAGUUGGAUGUGAAAGGCUUGGGCUUAACCUAAGGACUGCAUUCAAAACUGACUAACUAGAGUUCAGUAGGGGGAAGUGGAAUUUCCAGUGUAGCGGUGAAAUGCGUAGAUAUUGGAAGGAACACCAGUAGCGAAGGCGACUUUCUGGGCUGAAACUGACGCUGAGGCGCGAAAGCAUGGGGAGCGAACAGGGAUUAGAUACCCUGGUAGUCCAUGCUGUAAACGAUGAGAACUAGCUGUUGGAAUCUUUAAGAUAUCAGUGGCGUAGCUAACGCGAUAAGUUCUCCGCCUGAGGAGUACGACCGCAAGGUUA